UUAAAAGCUAUGACUGGGACUAGUAAAUUCAUGAUUGUUAUUAGAGAGGGAAGUCCAAAGGCUGCAAGUCUUCCUUAACAUAGUGAAUUGAAGACCACCCAAAAGCUCCAUCCUGAAUUCAGUAGGGAGAGGCGUUCGCAGCGUUAAUGCAUUAAGUGGGCUUUGCCAAUUUGGGUGGAACCGCGGGAUUUAAUCUCGUCCCUUUG
This 206-nucleotide non-coding RNA is filed under the name Caloramator quimbayensis. RNAcentral describes it as "T-box sequence". It matches the Rfam family "T-box leader". Rfam says of the family: Uncharged tRNA acts as the effector for transcription antitermination of genes in the T-box leader family. The record is from RNAcentral. Lineage: Bacteria; Bacillati; Bacillota; Clostridia; Eubacteriales; Clostridiaceae.